Xiphias gladius (swordfish) is the source of this 380-nucleotide non-coding RNA. The record is from the annotation of a RefSeq genome assembly. NCBI's taxonomy places the organism in Eukaryota, Metazoa, Chordata, Actinopteri, Istiophoriformes, Xiphiidae.
CCCACCCUGAGCGUGCUGCCCCCUCCAGCGAGGAGCUGCAGCGGGAGAGCCACGCUCAUGUGCCUGGCCAAGGGCUUCCCCUCAGACUGGAAUCUGGCCUGGAAGGUGGACGGCAGAGGCAGAAGCAGCAGCAGCAGCUGGGAGAGCAGCAGCCCGGGGUGCUGGGCAGGGCGGCCGCUACAGCUGGAGCAGCACCUGGCGCUCACUGCAGACCAGUGGAGCAAGGUGGGCUCUGUGACCUGUGAGGCCACCCAGGGCUCCCAGACUCUGGUCUCAGAGACGCUGAGGAGAGACCAGUGUUCCCAGUCCUGACCCGACUCCCUGGGACUCUGCUACUGGUUUUACUCUGCUACUGCUCCCCCCCUGCUCUCUGUAACACG